RNAcentral lists this ribosomal RNA (255 nucleotides) under uncultured bacterium. RNAcentral's name for it is "partial 16S ribosomal RNA". It matches the Rfam family "Bacterial small subunit ribosomal RNA", at positions 107 to 353 of the family's 1533-position model. The record is from RNAcentral.
UGAGUAAUACAUAAGUAACCCGCCCUAGACAGGGGGAUAACUAUUGGAAACGAUAGCUAAGACCGCAUAGGUACGGACACUGCAUGGUGACCGUAUUAAAAGUGCCUCAAAGCACUGGUAGAGGAUGGACUUAUGGCGCAUUAGCUGGUUGGCGGGGUAACGGCCCACCAAGGCGACGAUGCGUAGCCGACCUGAGAGGGUGACCGGCCACACUGGGACUGAGACACGGCCCAGACUCCUACGGGAGGCAGCAUG